AAGCUGGAAUCGCUAGUAAUCGCGAAUCAGAAUGUCGCGGUGAAUACGUUCCCGGGUCUUGUACACACCGCCCGUCACACCAUGGGAGUCGGGAAUGCCCGAAGUCAGUGACCCAACCAUAUGGAGGGAGCUGCCGAAGGCAGGUCUGAUAACUGGGGUGAAGUCGUAACAAGGUAGC
This 178-nucleotide ribosomal RNA is filed under the name uncultured bacterium. RNAcentral's name for it is "partial 16S ribosomal RNA". It matches the Rfam family "Bacterial small subunit ribosomal RNA", at positions 1323 to 1500 of the family's 1533-position model. The record is from RNAcentral.